AACGCGAAGAACCUUACCUGGGCUCGAAGCGCAGUGGACCGGGGUAGAAAUAUCCCUUCCCCUUAAAAGGCUGCUGCGGAGGUGCUGCAUGGCUGUCGUCAGCUCGUGUCGUGAGAUGUUGGGUUAAGUCCCGCAACGAGCGCAACCCUCAUCCCUAGUUGCCACCGGGUAAUGCCGAGCACUCUAGUGAAACCGCCCCGGAUAACGGGGAGGAAGGUGGGGAUGACGUCAAGUCCUCAUGGCCUUUAUGUCCAGGGCUACACACGUGCUACAAUGGUCGGUACAAACCGUCGCAAAGCUGCAAAGUGGAGCUAAUCGGAAAAAGCCGGCCUCAGUUCGGAUUGGAGUCUGCAACUCGACUCCAUGAAGCUGGAAUCGCUAGUAAUCGCAGAUCAGAACGCUGCGGUGAAUACGUUCCCGGGCCUUGUACACACCGACAUA
RNAcentral lists this ribosomal RNA (441 nucleotides) under uncultured bacterium. Its description in RNAcentral is "bacterial SSU rRNA". It matches the Rfam family "Bacterial small subunit ribosomal RNA", at positions 958 to 1397 of the family's 1533-position model. The record is from RNAcentral.